This 1077-nucleotide ribosomal RNA is filed under the name Sordariomycetes sp. genotype 88. Its description in RNAcentral is "eukaryotic LSU rRNA". The stretch from base 499 to 1077 matches the Rfam family "Eukaryotic large subunit ribosomal RNA", at positions 1 to 592 of the family's 3401-position model. The record is from RNAcentral. Lineage: Eukaryota; Fungi; Ascomycota; Sordariomycetes.
GGAUCAUUACAAGAAGCCGAAAGGCUACUUCAAACCAUCGCGAACUCGUCCAAGUUGCUUCGGCGGCGCGGCACCCCUUAACGGGGGCGCCGCAGCCCUGCCUCCCCGGAGGUUCGGGGCGCCCGCCGGAGGUACGAAACUCUGUAUUAUAGUGGCAUCUCUGAGUAUAAAACAAAUAAGUUAAAACUUUCAACAACGGAUCUCUUGGUUCUGGCAUCGAUGAAGAACGCAGCGAAAUGCGAUAAGUAAUGUGAAUUGCAGAAUUCAGUGAAUCAUCGAAUCUUUGAACGCACAUUGCGCCCGGUAGUACUCUACCGGGCAUGCCUGUUCGAGCGUCAUUUCAACCCUCAAGCCCUGCUUGGUGUUGGGGCCCUACGGCUGCCGUAGGCCCUGAAAGGAAGUGGCGGGCUCGCUACAACUCCGAGCGUAGUAAUUCAUUAUCUCGCUAGGGAGGUUGCGGCGUGCUCCUGCCGUUAAAGACCCAUCUUUAACCAAGGUUGACCUCGGAUCAGGUAGGAAUACCCGCUGAACUUAAGCAUAUCAAUAAGCGGAGGAAAAGAAACCAACAGGGAUUGCCCUAGUAACGGCGAGUGAAGCGGCAACAGCUCAAAUUUGAAAUCUGGCUUCGGCCCGAGUUGUAAUUUGUAGAGGAUGCUUUUGGUGAGGUGCCUUCUGAGUUCCCUGGAACGGGACGCCAGAGAGGGUGAGAGCCCCGUAUAGUCGGCCACCGAUCCUUUGUAAAGCUCCUUCGACGAGUCGAGUAGUUUGGGAAUGCUGCUCAAAAUGGGAGGUAUAUCUCUUCUAAAGCUAAAUAUAGGCCAGAGACCGAUAGCGCACAAGUAGAGUGAUCGAAAGAUGAAAAGCACUUUGAAAAGAGGGUUAAAUAGCACGUGAAAUUGUUGAAAGGGAAGCGCUUGUGACCAGACUUGUGCCGGGCUGAUCAUCCAGUGUUCUCACUGGUGCACUCGACCCGGCUCAGGCCAGCGUCGGUUUUCGCGGGGGGAUAAAAGCUUCGGGAACGUGGCACCUUCGGGUGUGUUAUAGCCCGUUGCUUAAUACCUCCGUGGAGACCGAGGU